GUGGGGCGUGGGGAGAAGAAGAAGAGAAGUAGAGGGAGAAGAGAAGAAGAGGGAAAAGAAGAGAGGAAGAAGAGGAAGAAGUGGGAGAAGAGAAGAAAAGAAGAAGUAGAAGAGAGGGAAGAUGGAGAGGAGAAAGAGAGGCAGCUGCAGCAGCUAGGGCUGCAGCACCUCUGUUUCCCGCAGGUGGAAACAGAGGAGAGGAUGUGUGGGGCGUUGAGGAUGAAAAGGGAAGAAGAAGAAGAAGAAGAAGAAGAAGAGAGGAGGAUAGCUGCGGCAAGGCUGCAGCGAGGAGGUGUGUGGCGUUGGGGAGGAAAAAGGGAAGAGAAGAAGAAGAGAAGGAGAAGAAGGGGGAAAAGAGAGGGAAGAGAGAGAGGAGCGAGAGGUGGCAGCAGCUAGGGCUGCAGCACCUCUGUUUCCUGCAGGUGGAAACAGAGGAGAGGUGUGGGGCGUUCGAAGAGGAGAAGAAGAAGAAGAGGAAGAGAAGAGGAAGAGGAAGCAGGAGAAGAGGUUGUGAUACCUCUGUUUCCCGCUUCGAAGAGGAGAAGAAGAAGAAGAGGAAGAGAAGAGGAAGAGGAAGCAGGAGAAGAGGUUGUGAUACCUCUGUUUCCCGCAGCGGGAAACAGAGGAGAGGUGUGGGGCGUGAGAAGAAGAAGAAGAGGAAGAGAAAGAGGUUGUGAUACCUCUGUUUCCUGCAGAGGAAACAGAGGAGAGGGUGUGUGUGACGCCGGGGACGAGGAAGGAAGAAGAAGAGGAGAAGAAGAGAAGGGAAAGGAGGAGCUGCGGCUGCGGCAGAGGCAGCUGUAGCUGGAAGAGAAGGAGAGGAAGAAAAGAAGGUGAGGAAGAAGAGAAGAAGAAGAAAGGAAGGAGAAGGGGGAAAAGAGAGGGAAGAGAGAGAGGAGCGAAAGAAGAGAAGCAGCUGCGGCAGCGGCUGUGGCAGCUGCAGCUGUGGCAGGGAAAGAGGAAGAGGAAGGAAGAAGGGAAGGAGAAGAAGAGAAGGGGAAGAAGGGGCUGCGGCUGCGGCGAAGGCAGCUGCAGUUGGAAGAGAAGGGAAGGAGAGGAAGAAGUAGAAGCGGGUGAACAGGCGGCACCUCUGUUUCCUGCAGGAGGAAACAGAGGAGAGGAGGUACUGUUCGUCGGGGAGAAGAAGGGGAGGAAGGAGAAGAAGAGAAGAAGAAGAAAGGAAGGAGAAAGAAGAGGAGAAAGGAAAGAAGCAGCUGCGGCUGCAGCUGUGGAAGCUGCAGCUGUGGCAGGGAAAGAGAAAGAGGAAGGAAGAAGGGAAGGAGAGGAAGAAGAGAAGGGGAAGAAGGGGCUGCGGCUGCGGCGAUGGCAGCUGCAGCUGGAAGAGAAGAAGGAGAGGAAGAUGAGCAGGGGAGGAAGAAGAGGCUGUGGCCGCGACUGAGGCUGCGACUGCAGCAGUGCAGCUGGGAAAGAAGAGAAGGAAAGGAAGAAGAAGAGAAAGGAAAAGGGAAGAAGAGAGGAAGAGGAGAAGGAGAGGCAGUUGUGGCAGCGGCAGCGGCGCGGCUGUGACAGCUGCGUUUGGGAAAGAAAAAGAAGGAAUGAGAGUAAGAGAGAGCAGGUGACUGUGCCUCGAUGUUCGACACGUGGUGUAGUUGCGAAAAAGGAAGAAAACGGGAACACAAAACGAAACAGAGAGAGGACACGGAGGAAAAGUAGAAGGAUUUGGGCUGGCACCUUCUUUGGAUCGUCGGAUCGAAAUCUUUGAAAGGUCAGCUUGUCACUCUUCGAGAUGUUGAUUUGGGCUGAGGCAGUGGAUAGCUAUUCAGAAUUAUGGGCAAGUCUGGGUGGUUAUUAUGAUAUUGUUGUAUAAGUAUGUUUUGUAUGUAAUAAAAUGUUGUCGAUGAAUCGAAAUGGAUAUACUGUGUAAAAGUGUUAGAAGAUCUCUCUUAUUUGGAAUUUCGGAAUGUUAAGUCUAAUUUAUGACGAUAUGAACUUGUGGUGAAUAGUUGGAGUUCUGAUUGUAUAAUUUAUUUAGCUUGUGGAUUUAUAAAUGUUGUUCAUGUUUGUCAAGUUGGCUUGGGUUGCCAUAAAUGUGAAUUAUCGAGUGAUGUGAUAUA
This is a long non-coding RNA of Musa acuminata AAA Group (dessert banana), 2075 nucleotides long. RefSeq lists it as uncharacterized. The transcript is spliced from 2 exons. Lineage: Eukaryota; Viridiplantae; Streptophyta; Magnoliopsida; Zingiberales; Musaceae. The record is from RefSeq and is a predicted model, not a curated record.